UAAUCUACCUUAUUCUUAAUGAUAUUUUAUUCUCAACAUCUCCUUCCAUUUUACACAGCUUCAUCUUUUUAACUGGAAAAUUCAGGUUUAAGGAGAGCACAAAAAUUGGCCUGACAACAUGAUCUAAUGAACCACAAAACAGUCUUCGAGGAGAAAAAGUAGCAGGAAGUUCCCUCAUACAAGCAGCAUUCCCCCUUCAGAGGAAGAGAAAUCAUGCUGAGACAACUCACUACUGCAAAUUAAUGAAGUGACUGCAUACAACUCUUUAUUUACGUAAAAUAUAGUUGGUGGAGGGGGAGAUGACAAUUUGAACAAAGUUCCUCCUCGYCUGGAUUGUCAACUGACUCUGCCUUUGGAUCUCACGUGAAUAAAACCCAGCUGGAAUCCAGUCCUGGUGAACAGGGAGUGAAACAGUGUGUCAUCAGAGCCAUAUUUGGUACAGAGCUCUAUGUUACUGCAGCUGUGCUUCUUCUGGAAGAAAAGGACAAAAAGAAGCAGAAUAGUAUUCAGAAGAGAAACUGAGGGAGAGAGAAAAUGAAGUUCCAUUUUCAAAAUGGCAAAAAUAAGAUGUAAGAAAUCCUUACGGUAAGU
This 591-nucleotide long non-coding RNA is filed under the name Dromaius novaehollandiae (emu). RNAcentral's name for it is "lncRNA (ENSDNVG00000014029.1)". Lineage: Eukaryota; Metazoa; Chordata; Aves; Casuariiformes; Dromaiidae. The record is from RNAcentral.